GGCGCAUCGAGGUAUUUCCCCUCUUCUCCGUGCAACGUGAUAUCUCCGCUCUUUGCCCUGCCAUGUUGGAGCUUGGAGGUAGCUUGGAGCUGGACCGAAAAUGCUGUUUGGCUCUCGGUAUCGGGAUUAGUAUCCUUUUCGUAGGCCGCGGUAUUCACGGUGACAUAUCUGACACAAGUUGGCAUUUAAUGCGCUAUUUUGGCUCAAAUUAUAUUGUCAUCGUCCUGGACUGGCACAGGCCAUUUUUCAGGGUGUCCCACACUGGCCAUUCUGGGCUGGUAUAGGACAGCACUCACACCCACGCUCACCCCAUCUUUACUUUUCCCUAAAUACAACUUGGUACUCACAAGUCACAAGCCAAUAACCACAUGCUUUUCAAUUAAACUAUAUUAGUAGAUCUUACACUAGUCCUAAUAUUUAUUGAGGCCUCGUUUCUCAUGCAACAAAAAUUCUUACUCUCAAAUCACUUACUAAUCAGCCUCCUAAUUUGAUGGGUCGGCAACUGUUUUUGCAGUUUGCACGGUCAUGAUUCCAUAAUUCGAGGGUCCCUUCUCAUGUUUUUAGCGCUCGUACGAGCACCGGCAUCCUACGAACUACCUCUACUUGGUCAUCUUAAUGCCCGAGGGAAUCCAUAAGCCAAACCAGGGUGUACGCAGCCGGAAGCAACAAGAUUUUUAACCGAUGAUUUGCAGUGUGAGAAAAAGCAGAGAAUUUGGAUUAUAACAAUUCUAAAAAAAAUGGGGAGUCACAUAUUUUGGUUUCACAUAUUGCAUUAAUUCCAAUCUGUUUAAUUUUCAGUCCAACAUGGAAUCUAGUAAAUCAAAAUUCCAAAUCCAGAUCCCAAGUCAAAAUUUGGUCCGAAAAAAACAACGAAGCUACAAAGAAUUGAUGAACGAAGAAUUGUACAACCUAAAUCAAAGCCAGAUCUGGAGGUAGAAAUUCCCUCGUUGCUUCAAAGCGAAAUAAAAAAGCUAAAUCAAGCAGUAAGUCUUUCUUUGCUGCUCCCGUGGAUAUUCUCUCCGGACGACCGGCCGUUAUCUGAUCCGAGCACUUCACGAGGCCGGCCACCGGAUUUUCGAAGGUGGGGAGUAGGAGGGCCCACGGCAGCCCGGCGUCUCCCCUCAACUACUCCACCUCGGGAGGCUCGUGCGCGUCCACCUGCGGCGGCGAGGACGGCGCCUGCUGCUGCUCCGGCGGCGGCGCUCGCCUCCACCGUAGGCGACAGAAUCUUCCCAGCAGAAUCCGGGUGUGUCGACGGAUGGCGUCAGGCUAGAUCUGGCCGGAUGGAGGCCUUCGGAGGCUAGCGCUGGCGAGAUCGUAUGUGGCAGCGAUGUCGACCGGAUCGGUCAGAGAUGGGGAUUAGGGAAGAGGGGUGGUUGGGUGAGAGAUGUGAUAUUUUCACGGGGCGGGUGGGGCACUGGUCCAUGAAGCUGUUUGGUUUUGGGUUGGUCCAAGUCUCCAUUUGAAAUGGCCCAUGUUCUACCCGUACCAAAAUCCAAACAUGUGCUGGCCCAAGUUCACACGACGGAACAACAUGUGCUGACCCAGUAUUCCUCGCUGUUCUAUACACUCUACUGGACCAAAAAUCUGCAGUACACAGUGAUCAUCUAGCCCAAAAGAUAGAUAGGGAUUGGUCCACGUUACCAAGAGCACUGGAUCUCGGGAGCCAAAAAUCCAUGUCCGGAGCUGGACGCAUGUUUUUGCUUCCUCUCUAGAAUACAGAAGUGUCAGAUCAGGAUGAAGGAAAGAAAUACCAGCAAGUGUAGUAAGUUGGUGAUACAGCUAAGAGUAAGAUUAAUAGCUAUAGCCUGCUGCUGGCUGUAAGUUUUGCCAUGUCAUUUUUAAGUAGUAUAAUGGAUAGCAUUUAUAAUAAAUUGGCUAUAAGAAACACUAUUUUAUUAAUAGCAGGCCCACAUUACAGUCUCACAUGGUGUAUAGGAGCACGUGUUGCAGCUGGCUACUAGUUAAUAGCCCACUUCUCUUUUCUCUCCUUCUCUCUUUCCUGCAACUAAGCACCAAUAUAGUAUUUAAAUUCUCGUAGCCAGCUUAUAGCCCACUAUUAUUCUUGCUCUAAACCAGAUAUUUAUGUACUCCCACCAUUCCAUAAUUCUUGUCUUAAUUCUUGUCUCAAAUUUGACCAAACAUGGAUGUAUCUAUUCCUAAAAAAUAUCUAGAUACAUCUAAUAUUUCAAUAAUAAUUAUGAAACGGAGGAAAUAUUAUUUGCAGAAUAAGGUCAACUGUUUGGUAAACAAACUUCAAGGUUACUUUUAAAAAUAUUCAGAGAAGAAAUUCAUCUACUCCGUAUUAUGUAUCCCACAGCUAUCUAUUACUAUAUCGAUUAAAAUUAGAGUCGGCGGUAACGGGCGGCCGCCGUACGUCCUCCCUCUCCCGAUCCGGAACAAGCGAUUCCGCAGGGCCCCUUCCCCUUUGCAGCCCACAGCAACGCGAGGCUCGUCCUCGCCGCCCGUCCCACCAACACGCUCGUCGCCAGCACCUCCUCUCCUCCUCGCCGCCCCCCGAUCCGAACCCGCUUCUCACUUGUGUUCCCGCCUUCUUCUUGCCAUCCUCUUGCUCCCCCCUUCAACAGACCACGUCCCAUCUGGCGUCGAGAACCUCGUGGGGCAGCAAAGUCAACGCCAACCGGCAGCCGGACUUGCACGUCGACGCAUCGUCCCCGUCGGCCGACGGCACAUGGUGCUCAACCGCUUGUGCCGCAGCAGUGCCUGGAUCUGCUUCCAUGGUCGGAAGGACUCCUUUAAAGGCGCUUCCAUGGUCGGAAGGACUCGUUUAAAGGCUUCCUAUGGCGGGUUCUCAAGCUAGAGGAAGAGAUAUGUGUUAAUUUUUCUGCACUUAUCCAUUUGCUCGCCAGAUGAUUAGUCUACAGUGCGCAUCAAUUUUAGUAAAACUAAGCCUCUGUAGGCUGGAGCAGCAUACUUAUAAAUAAAGUGAAAUUUAGUUUCGUUUCUUCAUGUAUCUACUUCCAUGUAGUUUUUUGGUGAAACUUUGUCAAUGAGUUAGGAGAUGCUGUCAGUAGUCACCAGCCAGAAUAGUUCAUCAGAUACUGGUCUACGCAAGUUCAUCAGAUCACAUGGGGCUAGAUUUGGUUAGGAGGAGCUUGAUGGCCGCUAGCAACCAUUAGAGUUAGUCAGAGGCUCAGACCAACAAAAACCUGCAUUUUGUUUCUCAGGCCAGCUACGGGAAUUAUGUUUGAGUUUAUGAGAUGCUGUCAGUAGUCACCAGCCAGAAUAGUUUUCUUGGUGUUCUCGAGAUUAUAAGAUAUGCUGGCAAAACAUUGGAAGUUUGGUAGUUGGGAAUGAUGCUGUUGAGCGAAGAAGAUUCUCAAGUUAAUCUGACACAAAUAAUUGAGAUAAUAAUGGGUACAGAUUAUAUGAUCUAAGACAACAAAUGAUAGUACAACAUGUUCUUUAAAGUUCUUCGAUUGGCUGCGCCCCAGGUGGUUGAUAUUCUCCUUUACUAUACAGGUUUAGCUGCUCCAGCAAUUGCUGUAGGAUGCUGCUCUUGCUCCAAUGCUGGGCACACUUCACCUUCUGCGUACUGUUUACACAUGUCUACAGCAUGUCUCCCUCCAACCUCCUCACUGUAGCAGCAGGCGCCGAGUGCUCCCACCCCGCCGCUGCCUCGCAGGGGCCACUGCCGCCUCCCUGCUGCCCCUUUGCCGUCGAUUCCUGGCUCCUCUGCAACGCCAGCACGCAGCUCGACAACCAUGGUGAGCAACUGGGGAGUUAAAUUGUUUGGAUAGGUUGCCUGAAUUGUAAGUCUGUAACAGAAAAUUUCUUGGGUUCGGAUGCACUGGGUUCAAAUAUUUACAAGCUUUUAUGUCUGCUUCUCUGUUCGUUAGUUCUAUUUGUUCUCGAAAGUUUAAAAAGAAAAUUCAUUUCAAUUCAGUGUCAAAUUAUGUUGCUGUGUUUUCUGUAAAGGUGAAUUUUUGUGUGCAUUAUGUUUACAUGUGAAAACGAAAGAAAUUAAGAGGUCGUGAUGGAUGCUCCUAACUA
Molecule: long non-coding RNA, 4014 nt
Filed under: Brachypodium distachyon (stiff brome)
Lineage: Eukaryota; Viridiplantae; Streptophyta; Magnoliopsida; Poales; Poaceae
Description: long non-coding RNA (BDIS_LNC004272)
Source: RNAcentral